GAAAUGCGAUAAGUAAUGUGAAUUGCAGAAUUCAGUGAAUCAUCGAAUCUUUGAACGCAUCUUGCGCUCCUUGGUAUUCCUUGGAGCAUGCCUGUUUGAGUAUCAUGAAAUCUUCAAAGUAAAUCUUUUGUUAACUCAAUUGGUUUCUACUUUGGUAUUGGAGGUCUUUGCAGCUUCACACCUGCUCCUCUUUGUUCAUUAGCUGGAUCUCAGUGUUAUGCUUGGUUCCACUCGGCGUGAUAAGUUAUCUAUCGCUGAGGACACUGUAAAAGGUGGCCAAGGUAAAUGCAGAUGAACCGCUUCUAAUAAUCCAUUGACUUGGACAAUACUUAUAUGAUCUGAUCUCAAAUCAGGUAGGACUACCCGCUGAACUUAAGC
This 378-nucleotide unclassified non-coding RNA is filed under the name plant metagenome. RNAcentral describes it as "partial contains 5.8S ribosomal RNA, internal transcribed spacer 2, and large subunit ribosomal RNA". The stretch from base 1 to 105 matches the Rfam family "5.8S ribosomal RNA", at positions 50 to 154 of the family's 154-position model. The record is from RNAcentral.